Maylandia zebra (zebra mbuna) is the source of this 1929-nucleotide non-coding RNA. The record is from RefSeq and is a predicted model, not a curated record. NCBI's taxonomy places the organism in Eukaryota, Metazoa, Chordata, Actinopteri, Cichliformes, Cichlidae.
UUCGAGAUUUACUUACCUGAAUGAUUGAGCAUGCAUCAAGAAGAAUUUAGAAUGGAUUACCUUGCUGAAUCCUUUUAGACAAGGGACUUAGGACUUACUAUCUAAUCGUGUCCCACAUAGAUGAUGUUCUCCAGUGCCCACUGUAAUGUGGAGAAGCUCACUUUACGAUUUUUUGAUCAGUAACAAGACAGAACCAGACGUGGAAGCUGCGGGAUGCUGGACGGGCUCAGCUGAACCUCUAGCUGUCAUGGUGUAGCUGAGAUAUAAUGUACGAAUUGUGAACAUUCUCAAAACUGUAUUGUACAUAGGUUAUACUUUUUUAUUGUGUGAACUUUAUUUUUGUGGAACUAAGGUUCCGUGUGUUAUUGUUGAAGUGGGACAUUAAUCAGUGUAACGCCACCUGCGGCCACAUUGCGGGUGUGGGGUUUCCUAGCCAGAGCUGUACGGACUCCACACUGGGUGAGGAGAAGCCUGCUGCCGCUGUGUGACACUGAUUUUGCUGCUGCACUCUGUUUUAUAGGAAUAAACCCUGUUUCCAGCCAGUCCGUGUCUGUUGUCACAACGCAGUCGACCAUUUCACAUCUGCUACAAUGGCAGGAUGCUGGAUGGGCUCGGCUGAACAUCCAGCUGGCGUGGCAGGGCGAGCAGGUGCGAAAACCUCUGGCUGAGGCAUGGCAGGUGACGGCAUAGCAACCACAGACGGCAGGGCGGGCUCUCCAGAGCACUCAGCAGGAACUGAUGGCGGAGCGGGAGCUGUGGAGUGCUGGGGUGGUUCGCCUGAACCCCCAGCAGACACUAGAAGAGUCUACACAAACUGCUCAGUGACCCCCAUGGAAGCAGAAACAGGCUCUUCGGGAGGUCCGGAGCAAAGUUAGUCCUCCAAAUCAGCCUCUGGAUCCAACCUGGCCUGGGUCUCAGUCCCACAGGGGCUUUGCUGAGCCUCACGGCUAGCAUCUCCAGUGAAAACAGUCUCGAAGCCUGACUUCUUAGAAGCAUGGGUCGUGGCAUGAUCAAUACACAGAGAUGCUAGAUAAUUGUGCAAAGCGAUAAGAUGUUCUGUGGAAGACUUGGGCAGUAACUUGUCAGUCUUAGUCCUUUCAUGAACAUGAACAGUCUCUUCAUAACCGGGCCAAUGAACUAGCAAAUCUGUGUUGAUUUUAGCUUCCUCCUUAGAAAAAACACGCGGAACACAGUCACCCACCUCAUGCUGCUGUAAGCCGGGGUGAUGACGUGGACACCGCCUCCUCCUGGAAGCCACGGUUGUGGAAGCUGGCGCUGCCAUGGCUGAGGUGAAUGUGGUGCUAGAAGCAGCCACUGGUUGUGUCCAGGAAAAUGCAGCACUUGUCUGCUGCUGCAUCGACAUGGACCUGGAGACAGGCGGGAGGCUCAACACGCCAACUUUAAUUCCUGUAUCUGGUGUAGGGAGAGCUGCGUCACACAGGGGCUGGAGUGAUCCAGUCUGCAUGCUGAGGGACUUGCUGCUUUGGCAGUGAAUGGGAAACUCCUCCAGUUGUAGCCAAAAAAAGUCUUUGUGCUGCUCCGAUAAGCGCUCCACAAAAAACAGGUUGGCAGCAAUAAUCCGACAUAGCUGGACCCGAAUAGAUUCUUUCUCCACCUCCUCCCCUUGAGCAGAGAAGAUAAUCCAAAAUCCAUGGAGCUGUGUGACGUGGACACUGUUAAGCGUUCAAAUAUUGAGGAGGAAUACAGGAGGGAUUCAAAAUCACAACACUUGUCCAGGAGGGUUGGGACAAACGAUGAUUUUAAUAAACACACGUGUGGGGGGAUGAACACUGUCACACACUCAGCGUCAAUCUCCGCCCAAUAAUACACAAGCAGUUGUUUUUAUAGCAUCACGGUAUUAUUUAUGAUGCCCCCUCAUGCGUCAAGCAGAUACAACCCAUAUGGAAAAGAAAUAGUAAAAACUUAUAU